GAGGUCGAGAGUUUUGAAGAGAAAGUUUAAAAGAAUUGGGAAAAAGACAAUAAGGUCUCAACGAAAUGUUGAAGCCCGUCGAAGAGCUUUGGGUUGUUGCUCCAUGAAAGGGGUGGGGCUUCUUGGGUUACUC
Molecule: non-coding RNA, 133 nt
Organism: Caenorhabditis elegans
Lineage: Eukaryota; Metazoa; Nematoda; Chromadorea; Rhabditida; Rhabditidae
Source: Ensembl